This is a non-coding RNA of Acanthosepion pharaonis, 105 nucleotides long. NCBI's taxonomy places the organism in Eukaryota, Metazoa, Mollusca, Cephalopoda, Sepiida, Sepiidae. The record is from the annotation of a GenBank genome assembly.
UGACAUCAUGUUGAAACACUCUCCCAUACGAUCAUCGAAGUUAAGCAAUGUUGAGUCUGGUCAGUAUCUAGAUGAGUGACUGCUUGGGAAUACCAGGUGUUGUAA